GAUGAACGCUGGCGGCGUGCCUAAUACAUGCAAGUCGAACGGUACCGGGCAACCGGUAUAGUGGCGAACGGGUGAGUAACGCGUUGGUGACCUGCCCCGAAGUGUGGGAUAACAGUUCGAAAGGACUGCUAAUACCGCAUGUGGAUAUGGAGAUUGGAAGUCCAUAUCGAAAGGAGUACUUCGCUUCGGGAGGGGCCUGCGUCCCAUCAGCUAGUUGGUAGGGUAACGGCCUACCAAGGCGAUGACGGGUAGGGGACCUGAGAGGGUGGCCCCCC
RNAcentral lists this ribosomal RNA (275 nucleotides) under uncultured bacterium. RNAcentral describes it as "partial 16S ribosomal RNA". It matches the Rfam family "Bacterial small subunit ribosomal RNA", at positions 28 to 309 of the family's 1533-position model. The record is from RNAcentral.